GCAGGGUUCAUGGCAGGGUCCAUUACUGAAGGGGUAUAUUAAAGCUUUCUUUUGGGGGGUGGGCAGCAUCUGCGGAACUUAUUACUUGAAGAAGGGAUAUGUUCAGGGGUUGCAACCCGCCAAUUGGGAAACACUCUUCUAGUGCUAUGUAUUGCUGUGCAGUAGAUCCAAGUUCAAAUCUCAUUUUUGGCCCUUCACUUUCUGAAUGGCAGAGCUGAAACUACUUAGCCCUGAAGAAGCCCGUUAUGGACCAGGACCAUCGCGCUAGGUGCUGUAUCAACAAAGAGCACAAAGAUAGUCCCUGCUCCAAGGAGCUUAGAGCGCAAGUAUACAACAAGAAAUGACAGGUGGAUACAGACAGGUGGGGAGUAGAAAACAAUGAGACAAUACUGGUCAGCAUGAUAGACAGUGGUCUCAGCACAACAGCAGU
Mauremys mutica (yellowpond turtle) is the source of this 430-nucleotide long non-coding RNA. RefSeq lists it as uncharacterized. The transcript has 4 exons. The record is from RefSeq and is a predicted model, not a curated record. NCBI's taxonomy places the organism in Eukaryota, Metazoa, Chordata, Testudines, Geoemydidae.